UACUCGAGUGGCGAACGGGUGAGUAACACGUGGGUGAUCUGCCCUGCACUUCGGGAUAAGCCUGGGAAACUGGGUCUAAUACCGGAUAGGAGCCAUUUUUAGUGUGAUGGUUGGAAAGUUUUUUCGGUGUAGGAUGAGCUCGCGGCCUAUCAGCUUGUUGGUGGGGCAAUGGCCUACCAAGGCGGCGACGGGUAGCCGGCCUGAGAGGGUGGACGGCCACAUUGGGACUGAGAUACGGCCCAG
RNAcentral lists this ribosomal RNA (243 nucleotides) under uncultured Actinomycetales bacterium. Its description in RNAcentral is "partial 16S ribosomal RNA". It matches the Rfam family "Bacterial small subunit ribosomal RNA", at positions 88 to 334 of the family's 1533-position model. Lineage: Bacteria; Bacillati; Actinomycetota; Actinomycetes; Actinomycetales. The record is from RNAcentral.